This 253-nucleotide ribosomal RNA is filed under the name uncultured bacterium. Its description in RNAcentral is "partial 16S ribosomal RNA". It matches the Rfam family "Bacterial small subunit ribosomal RNA", at positions 524 to 776 of the family's 1533-position model. The record is from RNAcentral.
UACGAAGGGGGCUAGCGUUGUUCGGAAUCACUGGGCGUAAAGGGCGCGUAGGCGGCUUGACAAGUCAGGUGUGAAAGCCCCGGGCUCAACCCGGGAAUUGCACUUGAUACUGUCUGGCUAGAGUCCGGAAGAGGAGAGUGGAAUUCCCGGUGUAGCGGUGAAAUGCGCAGAUAUCGGGAAGAACACCCGUGGCGAAGGCGGCUCUCUGGGACGGUACUGACGCUGAGACGCGAAAGCGUGGGGAGCGAACAGG